Molecule: ribosomal RNA, 480 nt
Filed under: uncultured bacterium
Lineage: Bacteria
Description: bacterial SSU rRNA
Rfam family: Bacterial small subunit ribosomal RNA
Source: RNAcentral
CGGCGGAUGGGUGAGUAACACGUGGGUAACCUACCUACAAGCUUGGGAUAACUCGUGGAAACGCGAACUAAUACCAAAUGCGAUCUUUUACCUCCUGGUAAAAGAUUAAAAGACGGUUUCGGCUGUCACUUGUAGACGGGCCCGUGGCGCAUUAGCUAGUUGGUGAGAUAAAAGCUUACCAAGGCAACGAUGCGUAGCCGACCUGAGAGGGUGAUCGGCCACACUGGGACUGAGACACGGCCCAGACUCCUACGGGAGGCAGCAGUAGGGAAUCUUCCGCAAUGGACGAAAGUCUGACGGAGCGACGCCGCGUGAAUGAUGAAGAUCUUCGGAUCGUAAAAUUCUGUUGUUAGGGAUGGACAAGUGUGAGCGUAACUACUCACACCUUGACAGUACUUAACCAGAAAGCCCCGGCUAACUACGUGCCAGCAGCCGCGGUAAUACGUAGGGGGCGAGCGUUGUCCGGAAUUAUUGGGCGUA